Molecule: ribosomal RNA, 1052 nt
Filed under: Mastodia sp.
Lineage: Eukaryota; Fungi; Ascomycota; Eurotiomycetes; Verrucariales; Verrucariaceae
Description: SSU rRNA
Source: RNAcentral
AAACUGGAAUGGCUCAUUAAAUCAGUUAUAGUUUAUUUGAUAGUACCUUCUACCUGGAUAACCGUGGUAAUUCUAGAGCUAAUACAUGCUAAAAACCUCGACUCACGAAGAGGUGUAUUUAUUAGAUAAAAAACCAAUGCCCUCCGGGGCUCAGUGGUGAUUCAUGAUAACUUAACGAAUCGCAUGGCCUUGCGCCGGCGAUGGUUCAUUCAAAUUUCUGCCCUAUCAACUUUCGAUGGUAGGAUAGUGGCCUACCAUGGUUUCAACGGGUAACGGGGAAUUAGGGUUCGAUUCCGGAGAGGGAGCCUGAGAAACGGCUACCACAUCCAAGGAAGGCAGCAGGCGCGCAAAUUACCCAAUUCUGAUACAGAGAGGUAGUGACGAUAAAUACCGAUACAGGGCUCUUUCGGGUCUUGUAAUUGGAAUGAGUACAAUCUAAAYCCCUUAACGAGGAACAAUUGGAGGGCAAGUCUGGUGCCAGCAGCCGCGGUAAUUCCAGCUCCAAUAGCGUAUAUUAAAGUUGUUGCAGUUAAAAAGCUCGUAGUUGAACCUUGGGCCUGGCCGAUCUGUCUUCCUAACCGUUGUACGGAUUCGGUCGGGCCUUUCCUUCUGGGGAGCCCCAUGUCCUUCACUGGGCGUGGUGGGGAACCAGGACUUUUACCUUGAAAAAAUUAGAGUGUUCAAAGCAGGCCUUUGCUCGAAUACAUUAGCAUGGAAUAAUGGAAUAGGACAGCAGUUCUAUUUUGUUGGUUUCUAGGACCGCUGUAAUGAUUAAUAGGGAUAGUCGGGGGCGUCAGUAUUCAAUUGUCAGAGGUGAAAUUCUUGGAUUUAUUGAAGACUAACUAUUGCGAAAGCAUUCGCCAAGGAUGUUUUCAUUAAUCAGUGAACGAAAGUUAGGGGAUCGAAGACGAUCAGAUACCGUCGUAGUCUUAACCAUAAACUAUGCCGACUAGGGAUUGGACGGUGUUUCUUUUAUGACCCGUUCAGCACCUUACGAGAAAUCAAAGUUUUUGGGCUCUGGGGGGAGUAUGGUCGCAAGGCUGAAACUUAAA